UUAUUCUUCGUUAACUCAUUGCAUUAAUUUGUAAUCCAUGUAUUACAUACAGAGCGCAGAGACUGUGUAGGAGAAAUAACGUCUGAACAUGAAGCAAACAACUUUAGUCGUGGUUUGUGUCCUGAUUGCAAAAGGUGACUUCCUCCCGGCCAUUGGAUUUAGUGCACGUCUUUCCCGAGAUGUCCACCUUGGAGACGGACAGGCCGUAAAAUACGACCGAGUGAUUACUAAUUAUGGAAACGGAUACAACAAGUGGACUGGUCACUUCACAGCGCCUAGAAAAGGACUGUACUUAUUUUCCUGUUCCAUUAUGGCCUUAGAUGAAAAUCACAUGCAUAUUGAGAUAGUCAAAAACGGAAGAAGAAUAUCAACUGUAUAUUCCAAUGAAUCUAAAUAUGAUCAAAGUUCACAGACUGUUGUACUAUUUCUAAAGAGGAGCGAUUAUGUUUGGACAAGGCAAAUCUACUCAGGACGAUAUUUACAUGAAAAUCAUUUAGGAUACAACAUGUUUACUGGUGUUCUGAUAUCUGAGAAUGUUUAAAAUGUUCAUGGUAUACUUUCUAACACAUAAGGACAUGCAAUGAAGUAUUGAGAUUUACAACCAAGAUUUUGUUUUUCAAAUUUCAAGAAUGCAUUUUCAUUGAAAUAGAAAUUAAAGUAUCAAGAAGUGAUGAAUUUAAUCAAAGGCAUUACUAUUUGUUUAUGUACUGGUAUUGCAGCAUUAGAAAAAAGUUCUGAUAUCGAACAAAAAUUUUGAUGAUUCCAUUUCGGGUAUUUGUCCAAUUUCUACCCGUUUUGUCCAAAAAAAAAAAUGUAAAACCUGUCACACAAUAGGAAUGCAUUUCUGUGUAACCUCAGAGGACAGAUACGAUCAAUUUCGUUUAACGUACAUGGAAGCGCAUCUUCCUACUUAAUUAAAACUUGCAUUUCACUUCCUGUAUGUGAUAUUUUAUUCCGUGCUACCUUAUACUAUUUUAACGUUCAAUCUUAAUCCUAAAUUUCAUAUCGCUACAUGACAUCCUUAAUUCCAUGUCGCGUUGUUAUAUUUCAAUUAUCCAUUUGUUUUCGUCUUGCUUCAUUCUUAAAUCUUUGAUCACAAUAUGUAUGACAUGAAUAUUUCUAUCUCGACUUUUUGCUUCUCUGCACUUGUUACAUUCUGAAUUAAAACUUGAAUUUUACAACCUGCCAUUUAAAAUCUUAUCGAGAUUGCAUCCAUUGUUACGUUUUCGUCCUUUUUGUUAAUCGCAUUAUGCUUUAUCCUUAGGUCUAAGUUUUUGUCACUUUAACGUAAAGUUACCAACGUCUCAGAUUGAAGAAUUCUCAGUAGGACGCAACACAAACUAUAUUUCACAGACUGUAAAACAUCAGUAUUACUACAACAACCUUUUAGCAUUGCUCAUAAAAAUCAAAUGUCGAUGAAUUUCAAUUGAAAGAACUUGGAUAUGUGAGAUACUGAAUGUGUUGAUGACCAUUUAAAGAUGUUACUGAGAGAUUUUGCUUGAUUUGAAAAACUACAAAGACCAAAAAUGAUAUUAUGAAUUUGUAUUUAUUGAUUAAUCAUAUAAAAGGAAAUAAAUUGUAACCUUUUAAAUAUGAUCGAGCAUAUACUGUAGUUAACAUGAAUUCGGAUGGUAAAAAUCAUCGAUUUGAUAUGAGAAAUACUAAGUUUCUCGGGCGAAAACUUUGAACAUUGCAUUUAGUAUGCGGGAAAAUCCUUUUAGCCGUGGCAUGAGUUACCUGUCCUUGUUUGGAAAAGUAUCUAUUCAGGAUUAUCAGCUGAAUCUUAUCACCUAUCUCUUGUUUCUUCCAUAGUGUGUUGGUAUAUGUGAACGUAUUUGAAUCAACAUUUAUCUGGAGUAAACAAUGUUUUCAACACUUUUUUGUGAAAGAUUAUGAUUAAAUUAAUCAAGUUACCAAACUGAAAUCUGGAUGAAAACAGGAAAUGAAAGUUAUUCUUCUUGUCACUGUUAAAUAAUUUCUGAAGACGGCAGUACCUGAGAAACUGAAUUUUGAUUCCUUUAAGCCUCAGGUAUGAACUUUUUAAAAUGAUAGGGCGCAAUACCAUUUUCAUUAUCAUAAGUGUUAUCGAUUGACUCCGACACCAGAUAUAUACCAAUUCCAGGACUCGAAUUUUGACUCACUAGGUACUGUCAGGCUUUUGGGGGGUUAUGCAUUUUCUUCUAUGAAAGGAAGGAACAACUGCAACACAACUGUUCAUUCUAUUUUCUGACGUGUAUUUUGAUUGAUUGAUUGUAUCUUGCUAAAAGUCUCGCUCAAGAAUUUUGCACUCAUAUGGAGACGUUACCAAUACCGGUGAAGGGCUUCAAAUUUAGGCCUAUACUCGGCGCUUACGGCCAUUGAUCAGUGAGGGAUCUUUAUCGUGCCACACCUACUGAAACACGGGACCUCGGUUUCUGCGGUCUCAUCCGAAGGACCGCCCCAAUUAGUCGCCUCUUACGACAAGCAAGGGGGUACUGAGGAUCUAUUCUAACCCGGAUCCCCACAGGAUACGUGUAUUUUGACAUUACUAAACAACAUGAACUACAUUGUUAGUCAAAACAAUUUCUAAAUCUGUUUAAAGAAGACAUACCUCGUAAAUAGUGAAGGCCCGUCAUUUACCCCCCCCCCCCCCACACACACACACUUAUUUUUACCUGGUAUUUGUUGAAAGCAAAUACGCAAAUCUAAAUAGCACAGCAGAGAAAAUAAACAAAGACCUUUAAAAAAUUGUUUUGCAUUGAAGCAAGUGCAUUUUUUGUUUAUAUGUAAUGUAGUGGUCAAAAAUGAAUUUGUUUUUGUUCCAAUUAUUGCGAUGCUUUUGAUUGCCAAACCUUGAAAUCCUUGUGUAAUAAACAUUGAUGUAC
This is a long non-coding RNA of Ostrea edulis (European flat oyster), 2864 nucleotides long. RefSeq lists it as uncharacterized. NCBI's taxonomy places the organism in Eukaryota, Metazoa, Mollusca, Bivalvia, Ostreida, Ostreidae. The transcript is spliced from 2 exons. The record is from RefSeq and is a predicted model, not a curated record.